Molecule: long non-coding RNA, 1031 nt
Filed under: Oncorhynchus kisutch (coho salmon)
Lineage: Eukaryota; Metazoa; Chordata; Actinopteri; Salmoniformes; Salmonidae
Description: lncRNA (ENSOKIG00005001870.1)
Source: RNAcentral
UGCAUAGUCUGGUAUCUGUUUACAGUCAUUUCUAGCAAUGAAUUAAGUUAAUUAAUCAGACAAAAGUUUGCAUUGUUGGAGCUUUUAGCUGACGUCACUUUUGUGCCUUGAAGUGAAGCUGAACAAACCUUGAGAAGAGUCUCCUUCAAUCUGCCGUAUAGUAGUAGCCUAACUAACACACACACUCAAUUACAGCCCAAUUUCGUUCUUUAUAAUCUACUGGCACUGUCCGCAAACAACGCAAAUCUGGGGGAACAUAACGCUAUUCUAACAUAGUAACUGACGCGAAGGAGGAUACAUAAAGUGACGGAAAUUAGCUUGCAGAGCUGUGAUGUCACAGAAUUGAGGAUCCUUCAGCAAUAUGGAGUCUGGAGAGCGGCUGGCCUCCCCAUCGUCAGCCCCGUCCUCCCUGCAUAUCACCACGUCCGCGGUCUCCUCCGUCGGCUCCUCACCUGCCUCGGCCAAGACACCCUCCUCAAAGUGCAGCGUCACCCCCACCCACGCCGCUCUGGGCUCCCCUCUCACCACCUGUGGUACGUAAACACACACACACACACACACACACACACACACACACACACACACACACACACAGAUCAAUCACGCUACAUGCGAAUACAUGAGCUAUAUUCACCUCUAACUCAUCAUAUUUCAUUAUUCUCCAACUACAAAUUAAACAAGAAAAGAGCAUUCUUUAGUGUUAAUUAUGAGGGUUCAGUAAGAUGAAGAAAGCACCGUCUUCUCACACUUUAUUUCCUGACAGUUUGUGGAGAAAUUAAAAAGCUUUAGCAUUAAUCGACACCAGCAAUGAAAAAUCCUCUGUGUAAGACGUCGCACACCCGCUCUGUUUCUUGACAACCUUUAGCACCAGUUUAGCCCGUUGUGAUUUGACAGGUCUGUCAGCCAAAUAGAGUGCUGUGGCCUCCGCUGCCUCAAACAUCCUCUGUUUUCUCUGAAUACUAAUUGUGUCCGACGCUAUUGUGGCGAGCAGCGGUGAUGCAUAAACUGUCAGGUUACCCUGACCAGAAAAU